Podarcis lilfordi (Lilford's wall lizard) is the source of this 75-nucleotide non-coding RNA. The record is from the annotation of a GenBank genome assembly. Lineage: Eukaryota; Metazoa; Chordata; Lepidosauria; Squamata; Lacertidae.
UGUCCUGUGGUGCAAUCGGUUAGUGCUUCCGGCUGUUAACCAGAAGGUUGCUGGUUCGAACCCACCCAAGGAUGA